RNAcentral lists this long non-coding RNA (299 nucleotides) under Homo sapiens (human). RNAcentral describes it as "non-protein coding lnc-HDAC2-7:1". The record is from RNAcentral. Lineage: Eukaryota; Metazoa; Chordata; Mammalia; Primates; Hominidae.
GGGAUAAACCAAAAGGACAGCCAGUAGGUGAGGAGAGGCCAUGGAAUACCCGCCAACAAGAUAAUCAUCGCUGGAAUAAUAGGGACCUGUCUGAAUAACCCAAGAAGAGGGGAAACCAGCAUGUCACCAGCUGCUGUGAUGGAGUCAGGUAGCACAGGGAAGUGGCUCAGAGCAGGGACUCUGGAGCUAGACUGCCUGCGUUUGAGAUCCUGCUCAGCCAAUUACUAGCUGGGUGAUCUUGGCAAGGUUUUUUGUUAAAACUGUUAUGCCUUAAUAUCUUUAAAAUAGGGAUAAUAAUA